UUCCUUUGAGUUUCAGCCUUGCGACCAUACUCCCCAGGCGGAGCACUUAACGCUUUCGCUACGGCCGAGAGGAUGUGACCCCCUCAACCUAGUGCUCAUCGUUUACGGCUAGGACUACCGGGGUAUCUAAUCCCGUUCGCUACCCUAGCUUUCGUGCCUCAGCGUCAGAAAAGACCCAGUGAUGCGCUUUCGCCACCGGUGUUCCCUAUGAUAUCAACGCAUUUCACCGCUCCACCAUAAGUUCCCAUCACCCCUAUCUUCCUCGAGCUUGGGGGUUUGAGACGCUGUUCCACGGUUGAGCCGUGGGCUUUCACAUCUCACCUACCAAGCCGCCUACGCACGCUUUAAGCCCAGUGAUACCGAAUAACGUUUGGACGGUUCGUCUUACCGCGGCUGCUGGCACGAACUUAGCCCGUCCUUCCUCUGAAAAUCGGUCAAACAUAAGAGAGAACCCUUAUGCAUUUCCUCCUAACUGACAGCGGUUUACAACCCGAGGGCCUUCAUCCCGCACGCGGCGUCGCUCGGUCAGACUUUCGUCCAUUGCCGA
This 547-nucleotide ribosomal RNA is filed under the name uncultured Planctomycetota bacterium. RNAcentral describes it as "uncultured planctomycete partial 16S ribosomal RNA". The record is from RNAcentral. Lineage: Bacteria; Pseudomonadati; Planctomycetota.